Molecule: ribosomal RNA, 371 nt
Filed under: uncultured bacterium
Lineage: Bacteria
Description: bacterial SSU rRNA
Rfam family: Bacterial small subunit ribosomal RNA
Source: RNAcentral
GGAGGGUGCGAGCGUUGUUCGGAAUUAUUGGGCGUAAAGCGCGUGUAGGCGGUCUGUUUAGUCUGGUGUGAAAGCCCUGGGCUCAACCCGGGAAGUGCAUUGGAUACUGGCAGACUUGAGUACGGGAGAGGAUAGUGGAAUUCCGAGUGUAGGGGUGAAAUCCGUAGAUAUUCGGAGGAACACCGGUGGCGAAGGCGGCUAUCUGGACCGAUACUGACGCUGAGACGCGAAAGCAUGGGGAGCAAACAGGAUUAGAUACCCUGGUAGUCCACGCCGUAAACGAUGGGUACUAGGUGUUGCGGGUAUUGACCCCUGCAGUGCCGAAGCUAACGCAUUAAGUACCCCGCCUGGGGAGUACGGUCGCAAGACUA